Molecule: ribosomal RNA, 460 nt
Filed under: uncultured bacterium
Lineage: Bacteria
Description: partial 16S ribosomal RNA
Rfam family: Bacterial small subunit ribosomal RNA
Source: RNAcentral
CCUACGGGGGGCUGCAGUGAGGAAUAUUGGUCAAUGGACGAGAGUCUGAACCAGCCAAGUAGCGUGAAGGAUGACUGCCCUAUGGGUUGUAAACUUCUUUUAUAAAGGAAUAAAACGAGGCACGUGUGCCUUUUUGCAUGUACUUUAUGAAUAAGGAUCGGCUAACUCCGUGCCAGCAGCCGCGGUAAUACGGAGGAUCCGAGCGUUAUCCGGAUUUAUUUGGUUUAAAGGGAGCGUAGAUGGGUUGUUAAGUCAGUUGUGAAAGUUUGCGGCUUAACCGUAAAAUUGCAAUUGAUACUGGCAGUCUUGAGUACAGUUGAGGUAGGCGGAAUUCGUGGUGUAGCGGUGAAAUGCUUAGAUAUCACGAAGAACCCCGAUUGCGAAGGCAGCUUACUAAACUGUGACUGACAUUGAUGCUCGAAAGUGUGGGUAUCAAACAGGAUUAGAUACCCGGGUAGUC